GUUCGUUGGUAGUUCUGAUCGCUCGUGGUAGGCGCUUUCACUUUGGGUGUGGUACAGUGAAUUACCAGCAUUUUUCACGAUAACCACACAUACAUAUACAUACCCCCACAAACACACCUAUUUGGUUAUAGUAAUACCUGUGAACCAUCAUCACCUCAAUGUACCUGACUCUUCCUCAAUAAAUACUCAAACUGCACCAUUGGAUUUGCCUAUUUCUUCUGACCGAGGAAGGCUCAGUUGACGAGCAAUCCAUAAUCAGCGCAGACGCGCACGGUCUCCUAUAGGAGUAAUAGAUGGAACCCACAUCCGAAUUAUCGCACCGUCGAAAGAAGAGGACGUUUAUGUUAAUAGAAAGAGGUACCACAGCAUAAACGUUCAAGUUGUUUUCAGGGCAGAUUAUAAGAUUUUAGACAUUGUUGCAAAAUGGCCCGGCGCAACACAUGAUGCCAGGAUACUGGCGGAGAGUGGCCUGAGACAUCUGUUUGAAGGACGUCGUAUUCCAGCAAAUUGCCACUUGUUAGGGGACAGUGGUUAUCCUUGUAAACCAUGGCUCCUCACACCUUACCUCCGUCCUGAGCAGGGGUCACAGCUAAAUUACAACAGAGCUCACAAGAAAACACGAGCCGUAGUUGAGCGGGGUAUUGGUCAACUAAAGAGGCGCUUUCACAUUUUACAUGGAGAGGUGACUGGCACCAGGAAAGGUCUUCAAAGUGAUAACAGCCUGUGCAGUGCUUCAUAACAUCUGUAAAGCUAGACAAAUUGCAGACCCUCCCACGGACAACUGGGCUGAUGAAGAGGAUGAUGAAGAAUACCCUCCAUAAGGGAGAGAUCUGUCCCAAAGUGGGAAUCCUUACAGAGCCCAGUUUACUAAUUUGCAUUUCAUAUAAGUAACAGUGAAUGUAAUAUAAAAAUCGUGAAUAAACAGCACCUUAGCCAACAUUUUCAUUAGAAAGAUAUUAUGAAGACACACAAAAAAUAUUAUUUGUUAUACGUUUUAUUUUUGAGUUGCUCAAUUUUUAGUUUGUAGUACUCCUCCUGUAGAUGGAGUACUAUUUUCUGCUGCUUUUGGACAUCCAUCUUCAUCUCCACUUUAGGGAUGGUGUUGGAGCAGCUGCAGCAGAAGGCAGGGAAUGAGGCGCUUCGGGCUGAGGGUCGUACAUCUGCGAUGUCGACGGUCCCCAUUCCUCUGCUGAAGGCUCAGUGUUAAGAAAACAUAUAAUCUCUGUUAUUUUAAAUAAAUGUAGGCCAAUUAUUAUUAUUUUUUUCAGUUCAAAGAAUGCCAGAUAUAAAUAUGUGAAAUGGCCUUGUCUAUGUUAAAUAAA
Long non-coding RNA from Xyrauchen texanus (razorback sucker), 1322 nucleotides. RefSeq lists it as uncharacterized. Lineage: Eukaryota; Metazoa; Chordata; Actinopteri; Cypriniformes; Catostomidae. The transcript is spliced from 3 exons. The record is from RefSeq and is a predicted model, not a curated record.